Non-coding RNA from Pelobates cultripes (western spadefoot toad), 168 nucleotides. NCBI's taxonomy places the organism in Eukaryota, Metazoa, Chordata, Amphibia, Anura, Pelobatidae. The record is from the annotation of a GenBank genome assembly.
GCAGACACAUUCCAGCCAAUCAGCAGCAGACCCUCCCUCCCAGACCCUCCCACCUCCUGGACAGCAUCCAUUUUACAUUCAUUGUGAUGCUGCAUUCUUAGUGAGCUGUCCAGGAGGUGGGAGGGUCUGGGAGGGAGGGUCUGCUGCUGAUUGGCUGGAAAGUGUCUG